RNAcentral lists this small nucleolar RNA (138 nucleotides) under Ornithorhynchus anatinus (platypus). Lineage: Eukaryota; Metazoa; Chordata; Mammalia; Monotremata; Ornithorhynchidae. The record is from RNAcentral.
CCCCUUUCAGUGUUGCACCUGGAGAGCAUCCAGUACUCUACUAGUCUCCGCUAUGGGAGGGAGAGUAGAGCAGAGGCCUAUCCAUUCCAUUCCUAGCUUGGCCAGUGGCUAGUGAGUGGAAGGCAAUCUGCUACAAUU